AAAAGGGAGAGAGACGGAAGGGACCCUACCUGCUACCACUCCUCAAAGUCUGAAACUGAACCAUCCGAUCGGCCACACAAACCGAAGACCGAACCUUUUCCGUCUCCUUCUUCUGUCGGCCUUAUAUCUGGGUUCGAUUCCAAAAUAACCCUACAUCAGCUUUGUCGGAAAGCAUGUUGUUCUACAUCAAGGGCUUGCUCUAUUUGGUGUGACAUAAAAGAUUGGCUAGGCUUUCCUUGGUAAUUCAUCAAGUAUAUUGUUUAAUCGUCAAUUAUCGUUUAAAGAAAGUGAGCUGCAUGCCAUCUGCUUGUACAUUUUCGAGUUAAUAGUCUUCAUGGCCUUAAGACCUUCAUGUAAAGUUGGGUUCAAUCUCAAUGUAUCCAACAUGGAUGAUAUUCAGUUAAAUACCAAUUGGGAAGAUGUGAUUUGCCCUAUAUGCUUGGAUUUUCCGCAUAAUGGUGUACUCCUCCAAUGCUCAUCUUAUGAGAAAGGAUGCCGUCCUUUUGUGUGUGACACAGACCACUUGCACUCGAAUUGCUUGGACCGUUUCAAAAGUGCUUAUGGCAUGUCAACCCCAUUAACAUCUGAUAUAACUCCCACAGAAAACAGGGAUCCCGUGGCAUCUGAAGGCAACUGUAAACCAUGUUGUCCCUUGUGUAGAGGAGAGGUUACUGGGUGGUUUGUUGUUGACAAGGCCCGUCUAUAUCUGGAUGAGAAGAAACGUUGUUGUGAGGAGCAACAAUGUACAUUUAGGGGAACUUACUUAGAACUGCAAAAGCAUGCUCAACUGGAGCACCCUCAUGCUCGUCCAUCAAAGAUUGAUCCUGCGCGGCAGCUUGAUUGGGAGAAUUUUCAACAGUCCUCUGAGAUCAUAGAUGUUUUGAGCACUAUUCAUUCAGAAGUCCCUCGUGGGGUGGUUUUGGGAGAUUAUGUAAUUGAAUAUGGGGACGAUGAUACUGGAGACGAGUUUGAGGACUUCCCUGGGGAUGAGGGGAACUGGUGGACCUCUUGUAUUUUGUAUCAGGUGUUUGAUAACUUCAGGAAUUCUAGAAACCGAAGAAGGUCAAGAGUUAGUGAUACAAGAAGAGGAAAUCGCCGAACGAGUUAUGAAAAUUCUGUUUCUGAUGAGGGUUCUGUGGCAUCUAUAGAAUUUCCUGAUUAUAGGAUAGAUGAGACUGACGAUGAGUUUGUGAGUACAAAUGUCCCAACGGGUAACUCCAAUCAUCGCAGUUACCCUGUUUUUCAAUGCACAGGACUAAAAUUCUGAAAAAGGUUUUCUUUUUGUAGUAGUAACCUUGAAUAGUGAGGUAGGGGUAUGUUUGCCAUGAUAAAUAGCAUGCAGAUUAGUCUGUAACAUAGCGUUUCCUGGUUUCAUUAGUUUAUGAAAAAUUUACAAGUAUUGCUGUUGUAUUCACAGUUCCCGAAGACGCCGUUCCCGCUUCUAUGACAAUUAGAAGUGAAGUGAAGUGGAGAACAGAGAGAUCCACUGCAAAGUAGAAAAGAUUGCAUGCUUGCUACAGAUCAUCUCAUUGUUAAAACAUGUAAAAGCUACAUCUAGAUCUUAUCUUACUACAUUUGUGAUAAGAUAUGCUGAUUAGACAAGAAUGAACCUGACAAUCCCAUCUGGUUAUGUUAUGACCAUUGUAACAUUCAUCAUUUCUCUUUGGCUUUAAUUGUUUUUUUUUUUUUUUGUCACCCUUAUAGAAUUCUGAAGGAUGCAGAAAGUAUUUACACAA
Juglans microcarpa x Juglans regia is the source of this 1736-nucleotide RNA transcript. RefSeq lists it as uncharacterized. The record is from RefSeq and is a predicted model, not a curated record. Lineage: Eukaryota; Viridiplantae; Streptophyta; Magnoliopsida; Fagales; Juglandaceae. The transcript has 4 exons.